UGUGUUGCAAUAAACUAUGCGAAUGCUAUGAAAUAAUUGCAGAUAACAUAAAAUAUUGCUAAUGUUUUUGUUACUAUGCAAUAUUUCUAACAUAAGAUGACAAAAGUAUAUUUUAUAAAUUAAUUAACUCGAAAAACAGUUCGUUUAUGAAGAAAUAUGCAAUAUAAGUAUUUCUAAGUACAUCUGAUAGCAUAAUUUUAUCGAUUAGUUUGAAUAAAUAAAGUAUAUGUGUAUCGAUUAACUGAUGCCCAAAUUAAAUCCGAAUAAAUAUAACCAUUUUCGUGACCAUUCUAAAUAUGUAUAUCUAUGCAAAAAUAAUAUCGUAACAAAAAUAAUUGUGUUAAAUGAUGAUGAUGAUGAUGAUGAUGGCGGCGGCGGUGGUACUGUACAGCGAUUGUGUUACAUAACCGGUUCGACUGUUGAAUUUAAUGCUGUUUAUUUUAUAUUAUCAAUUCAAUUUAAAAUUAUGUAUUGAAGGAUUUAGAAGUGCAUUGUUAAGUAAAAAAAAAAUUGUUAUUGGAGAGAUUUAAAUUAUGACGCAUUUUUCGGUAAUCUUUUGUUGGAACUUGCUCUGCUUUACUUUGACAAGUUACGAAUUUAAUGAGAUUAUUAAAUUAAGAAAGCUAUAUUAGAAUAUUAAAUAUUGAUCAC
RNAcentral lists this long non-coding RNA (651 nucleotides) under Androctonus crassicauda. Lineage: Eukaryota; Metazoa; Arthropoda; Arachnida; Scorpiones; Buthidae. The record is from RNAcentral.